Molecule: ribosomal RNA, 373 nt
Filed under: uncultured organism
Description: partial 16S ribosomal RNA
Rfam family: Bacterial small subunit ribosomal RNA
Source: RNAcentral
GUAGGUGGCAAGCGUUGUCCGGAAUUAUUGGGCGUAAAACGCGCGCAGGCGGUUCUUUAAGUCUGAUGUGAAAGCCCACGGGCUCAACCGUGGAGGGUCAUUGGAAACUGGAGAACUUGAGUACAGAAGAGGAAAGCGGAAUUCCACGUGUAGCGGUGAAAUGCGUAGAGAUGUGGAGGAACACCAGUGGCGAAGGCGGCUUUCUGGUCUGUAACUGACGCUGAGGCGCGAAAGCGUGGGGAGCAAGCAGGAUUAGAUACCCUGGUAGUCCACGCCGUAAACGAUGAGUGCUAAGUGUUAGGGGGUUUCCGCCCCUUAGUGCUGCAGCUAACGCAUUAAGCACUCCGCCUGGGGAGUACGGCCGCAAAGGCUG